Opisthocomus hoazin is the source of this 82-nucleotide non-coding RNA. The record is from Rfam. NCBI's taxonomy places the organism in Eukaryota, Metazoa, Chordata, Aves, Opisthocomiformes, Opisthocomidae.
GGUAGUGUGGCCGAGCGGUCUAAGGCGCUGGAUUAAGGCUCCAGCCUCUUUGGGGGCGUGGGUUUGAAUCCCACCGCUGCCA